RNAcentral lists this ribosomal RNA (435 nucleotides) under uncultured bacterium. Its description in RNAcentral is "bacterial SSU rRNA". It matches the Rfam family "Bacterial small subunit ribosomal RNA", at positions 331 to 782 of the family's 1533-position model. The record is from RNAcentral.
CCAGACUCCUACGGGAGGCAGCAGUGGGGAAUAUUGCACAAUGGGGGAAACCCUGAUGCAGCAACGCCAUGUGAGUGAAGAAGCGUUUCGGCGCGUAAAGCUCUGUCAGCGGGGAAGAAAGAAGACGGUACCCGACCAAGAAGCCCCGGCUAACUACGUGCCAGCAGCCGCGGUAAUACGUAGGGGGCGAGCGUUAUCCGGAUUUACUGGGUGUAAAGGGGGCGCAGACGGCGGUGCAAGCCAGGAGUGAAAGCCCGGGGCCCAACCCCGGGACUGCUCUUGGAACUGCGUGGCUGGAGUGCAGGAGGGGCAGGCGGAAUUCCUGGUGUAGCGGUGAAAUGCAUAGAUAUCACGCAGAACUCCGAUUGCGAAGGCAGCGCACCGGCGCCCUACUGACGCUCAGGCACGAAAGCGUGGGGAUCGAACAGGAUUAGA